This 468-nucleotide ribosomal RNA is filed under the name uncultured bacterium. Its description in RNAcentral is "partial 16S ribosomal RNA". It matches the Rfam family "Bacterial small subunit ribosomal RNA", at positions 28 to 507 of the family's 1533-position model. The record is from RNAcentral.
GACGAACGCUGGCGGCGUGCUUAACACAUGCAAGUCGAACGGAAAGGCCCUGCUUUUGUGGGGUGCUCGAGUGGCGAACGGGUGAGUAACACGUGAGUAACCUGCCCUUGACUUUGGGAUAACUUCAGGAAACUGGGACUAAUACCGGAUAUGAGCUCCUGCUGCAUGGUGGGGGUUGGAAAGUUUCGGCGGUUGGGGAUGGACUCGCGGCUUAUCAGCUUGUUGGUGGGGUAGUGGCUUACCAAGGCUUUGACGGGUAGCCGGCCUGAGAGGGUGACCGGCCACAUUGGGACUGAGAUACGGCCCAGACUCCUACGGGAGGCAGCAGUGGGGAAUAUUGCACAAUGGGCGGAAGCCUGAUGCAGCAACGCCGCGUGCGGGAUGACGGCCUUCGGGUUGUAAACCGCUUUCGCCUGUGACGAAGCGUGAGUGACGGUAAUGGGUAAAGAAGCACCGGCUAACUACGUG